GACGAACGCUGGCGGCGUGCCUAAUACAUGCAAGUAGAACGCUGAAGAGAGGAGCUUGCUCUUCUUGGAUGAGUUGCGAACGGGUGAGUAACGCGUAGGUAACCUGCCUUGUAGCGGGGGAUAACUAUUGGAAACGAUAGCUAAUACCGCAUAACAAUGGAUGACACAUGUCAUUUAUUUGAAAGGGGCAAUUGCUCCACUACAAGAUGGACCUGCGUUGUAUUAGCUAGUAGGUGAGGUAAUGGCUCACCUAGGCGACGAUACAUAGCCGACCUGAGAGGGUGAUCGGCCACACUGGGACUGAGGCACGGCCCAGACUCCUACGGGAGGCAGCAGUAGGGAAUCUUCGGCAAUGGGGGCAACCCUGACCGAGCAACGCCGCGGGAGUGAAGAAGGUUUUCGGAUCGUAAAGCUCUGUUGUAAGUCAAGAACGGGUGUGAGAGUGGAAAGUUCACACUGUGACGGUAGCUUACCAGAAAGGGACGGCUAACUACGUG
This 497-nucleotide ribosomal RNA is filed under the name uncultured bacterium. Its description in RNAcentral is "partial 16S ribosomal RNA". It matches the Rfam family "Bacterial small subunit ribosomal RNA", at positions 28 to 507 of the family's 1533-position model. The record is from RNAcentral.